This 453-nucleotide ribosomal RNA is filed under the name uncultured Porphyromonadaceae bacterium. RNAcentral's name for it is "partial 16S ribosomal RNA". It matches the Rfam family "Bacterial small subunit ribosomal RNA", at positions 341 to 792 of the family's 1533-position model. Lineage: Bacteria; Pseudomonadati; Bacteroidota; Bacteroidia; Bacteroidales; Porphyromonadaceae. The record is from RNAcentral.
ACGGGAGGCAGCAGUGAGGAAUAUUGGUCAAUGGGCGGAAGCCUGAACCAGCCAAGUCGCGUGAAGGAUGAAGGUAUUAUGUAUUGUAAACUUCUUUAGACGUAGAGAAAUAAGGGGAUCGUGAUCCCUGAUGCUAGUAUACGUAGAAUAAGCAUCGGCUAACUCCGUGCCAGCAGCCGCGGUAAUACGGAGGAUGCGAGCGUUAUCCGGAUUUAUUGGGUUUAAAGGGUGCGUAGGCGGGACGUUAAGUCAGUGGUAAAAGCGUGUGGCUCAACCAUACCAAGCCAUUGAAACUGUCGUUCUUGAGUGUAAACGAGGUAGGCGGAAUGUGACGUGUAGCGGUGAAAUGCUUAGAUAUGUCACAGAACCCCGAUUGCGAAGGCAGCUUACCAGCAUACAACUGACGCUGAGGCACGAAAGCGUGGGUAUCAAACAGGAUUAGAUACCCUGGUA